AUUCACAGUUCUUUUCAUCUUGGAAACUGACUUUUCAUUUCUCUUCGUGUUUCAUACAUUAGGAAAGAAGAAUACAAAGGUGAAAAUAAAACCCUGAAAAAAAUUAAAUCCAAAGUUGAGGGUUGUGCAACAGCUAGUUGGUGAGACUUGGGUAUCUGCCCUAGCUAAAUUACCUUUGAAGAGGCCAUUUUGAAGAGCUGUACAAUCCACUUAAGAAAAGUUUUUACUGAGGUGAAUCCCACUUAUAAUGGAGCAGAGUGAGAGUCUUAAGUCAAGAUAUGCAGACAUGAAAGAGUUAAAUGACUGGAGACCUGACUGCAGCUGGGGUUCAUUUAAACAGCUGUCUGACAUAAAAAGAGGAAGAGGAAAGGUUUGUCUGUUCUGGUGGGAACAAGAUGCACUCUUCUGGAAAAUUGGGCUGAGUGGAAGCUAUCAUGGUGUGGUAUAUACUCUCCAAAGGUAGCAAAAGAAACUACAGAACAAAAAGGCAAAAGAAAAAACAUUAACUGAUUGAAAGUAUACCUCUGAUCUGCUUACUGUUUUACAAGAACAAAGAGUAUCUGUGAUUUGAAAUCCUACAUGCAACAGUAAAC
RNAcentral lists this long non-coding RNA (593 nucleotides) under Crocodylus porosus (Australian saltwater crocodile). RNAcentral's name for it is "lncRNA (ENSCPRG00005013118.1)". The record is from RNAcentral. Lineage: Eukaryota; Metazoa; Chordata; Crocodylia; Crocodylidae.